CGACCGGCGCACGGGUGCGUAACGCGUAUGCAACCUACCUUUAACAGGGGGAUAACACUGAGAAAUUGGUACUAAUACCCCAUAAUAUCAUAGAAGGCAUCUUUUAUGGCUGAAAAUUCCGAUGGUUAGAGAUGGGCAUGCGUUGUAUUAGCUAGUUGGUGGGGUAACGGCUCACCAAGGCGACGAUACAUAGGGGGACUGAGAGGUUAACCCCCCACACUGGUACUGAGACACGGACCAG
Molecule: ribosomal RNA, 241 nt
Filed under: uncultured bacterium
Lineage: Bacteria
Description: partial 16S ribosomal RNA
Rfam family: Bacterial small subunit ribosomal RNA
Source: RNAcentral